UGUAAAUUUGUUGACGCCUACUGUGUGUAGAUCUCAAAUUGAAUGUAUAGAUAUCUUGAUUAAGAAUUGCAUCCGGCCAGGAAACGUCAUCUCUUCCGGGACUGGCAUCCUGUUUGGGAUUCAAAAUCUGUAUGGAAGAACCAGUAUUUUAACUGGAGCCAGCAUCCUGUCUGGAACCGUCGAUUUGAAUAAGAUUGACAUCUCGACUAGAGCCAAUAUUUCGACUGGGAAUGGAAUUUUGUCUGGAGCCAUCGACCUGAUUGAAACCAUUAUUUUGACUGGAGCCAGUAUCUUGCCUGAAACUAUCGUCCCGCCUAAAACUGAUAUUCUGAUAUGAGUUGAAGUUCCGAUUUAAGUUAACAGGAUGAUUAAAAGUAGAAACUGCAUUUUUAGAA
Molecule: long non-coding RNA, 395 nt
Organism: Drosophila mojavensis
Lineage: Eukaryota; Metazoa; Arthropoda; Insecta; Diptera; Drosophilidae
Exons: 2
Source: RefSeq, a predicted model, not a curated record